This 75-nucleotide transfer RNA is filed under the name Candidatus Komeilibacteria bacterium. Its description in RNAcentral is "tRNA-Glu". It matches the Rfam family "tRNA". Rfam says of the family: Transfer RNA (tRNA) molecules are approximately 80 nucleotides in length. Their secondary structure includes four short double-helical elements and three loops (D, anti-codon, and T loops). Lineage: Bacteria; Candidatus Komeiliibacteriota. The record is from RNAcentral.
GCCGGGUUCGUCUAGUGGCUAGGACGCCAGGUUCUCAUCCUGGUAACACGGGUUCGAUUCCCGUACCCGGUACCA